Molecule: ribosomal RNA, 435 nt
Filed under: uncultured bacterium
Lineage: Bacteria
Description: partial 16S ribosomal RNA
Rfam family: Bacterial small subunit ribosomal RNA
Source: RNAcentral
AACGAACGCUGGCGGCAGGCUUAACACAUGCAAGUCGAACGCAUGCCUUCGGGCAUGAGUGGCAGACGGGUGAGUAACGCGUGGGAACCUACCCCUUGGUACGGGAUAGCUCCGGGAAACUGGAGAUAAUACCGUAUGUGUCCUGAGGGACAAAGAUUCAUCGCCAAGGGAUGGGCCCGCGUCGGAUUAGCUAGUUGGUGGGGUAACGGCCUACCAAGGCGACGAUCCGUAGCUGGUCUAAGAGGAUGAUCAGCCACAUUGGGACUGAGACACGGCCCAAACUCCUACGGGAGGCAGCAGCGGGGAAUAUUGGACAAUGGGCGCAAGCCUGAUCCAGCCAUGCCGCGUGAGUGAUGAAGGCCCUAGGGUUGUAAAGCUCUUUCACCGGUGACGAUAAUGACGGUAACCGGAGAAGAAGCCCCGGCUAACUUCGUG